Molecule: unclassified non-coding RNA, 333 nt
Filed under: soil metagenome
Description: partial contains 5.8S ribosomal RNA, internal transcribed spacer 2, and large subunit ribosomal RNA
Rfam family: 5.8S ribosomal RNA (bases 1-120)
Source: RNAcentral
GAUGAAGAACGUAGCGAAAUGCGAUAAGUAAUGUGAAUUGCAGAAUUCAGUGAAUCAUCGAAUCUUUGAACGCACAUUGCGCCCAUUAGUAUUCUAGUGGGCAUGCCUGUUCGAGCGUCAUUUCAACCCUUAAGCCUAGCUUAGUAUUGGGAAUCGACUUUACUGUCGUUCCUCAAAUUCAACGGCGGAUUUAUAGCAAUCUCUGAACGUAGUAAUUUUUUUUCUCGUUUUUGAAAUACUAUAAACCUCAGCCGCUAAACCCCCAAUUUCUUAUGGUUGACCUCGGAUCAGGUAGGAAUACCCGCUGAACUAAGCAUAUCAAUAAGCGGAGGA